Molecule: long non-coding RNA, 627 nt
Organism: Ctenopharyngodon idella (grass carp)
Lineage: Eukaryota; Metazoa; Chordata; Actinopteri; Cypriniformes; Xenocyprididae
Exons: 4
Source: RefSeq, a predicted model, not a curated record
ACACAAGAAGAAGAACAGGAAGAAGACAUGGCAUUGAUUGUGUACUACGUCACGGAAGUUAAUGCUUUUUGGACGUACCUAGAAUGCAUACGACUGUCGCGCCAAAAGCUCAUUAUUUUACUUUAUAAAGUUUUAAAUAAGGAUAGUUGUCUUACACAUAUGCAUCGAUUCGCUUCAGAAAGCCUUUAUUAACCCCCUGGAGUCGUAAAGGUUAAUUUUUUUAUGGAUGGAUGCUUUUUUUUUUUUUUGGUCUUCAAAAUUUGGGCAGCCAGAAUCUUCGAUUGUGUUCGUCUGAAAGAAGAUAGUCAUGUACACCUAGGAUGACUUGAGGACCCGUUACUCCAGCUGGUUUCUCUCCAGAAGGCGUCGGGCUGCUGGGAGCUGGACGCCACACUGGCGGAUGUGUUUGGGAAGACGGAGGAUGAGCUGACCAAUCAGAAACCAGCACAGGUGGAUGGGUCAGUAUGGGCCACUCUCCUGGCUCUGAUCUGGUUAUACGGCUGUAAAAUAGACCAGCAGGUCGAGUGGCAGUUUGUGGCCAUGAAGGCAGCGUCAUGGAUCGGCUCUCAGAAAGUGGGCGAUCUGUCUCAGUGUGUGUGUGUGGGUAAUGUCCUGCUCCGAUGUCAG